AACGAACGCUGGCGGCAUGCCUAAUACAUGCAAGUCGAACGAUCACUUCGGUGAUAGUGGCGCACGGGUGCGUAACGCGUGGGAAUCUGCCCUUGGGUUCGGAAUAACAGCUGGAAACGGCUGCUAAUACCGGAUGAUGACGUAAGUCCAAAGAUUUAUCGCCCAGGGAUGAGCCCGCGUAGGGAUUAGCUAGUUGGUGGGGUAAAGGCUUACCAAGGCGACGAUCCUUAGCUGGUCUGAGAGGAUGUUCAGCCACACUGGGACUGAGACACGGCCCAGACUCCUGCGGGAGGCAGCAGUGGGGAAUAUUGGAAAAGGGGGGCAACCCUGAUCCGGCAAUGCCGCGUGGGUGAUGAAGGCCUUAGGGUUGUAAAGCUCUUUUCCCCGGGAGGAUAAUGACAGUACCGGGAGAAUAAGCCCCGGCUAACUCCGUGCCAGCCGCCGCCGUAA
Molecule: ribosomal RNA, 450 nt
Filed under: uncultured bacterium
Lineage: Bacteria
Description: partial 16S ribosomal RNA
Rfam family: Bacterial small subunit ribosomal RNA
Source: RNAcentral